GACGAACGCUGGCGGCGUGCUUAACACAUGCAAGUCGAACGGGGUAAGAUCCUUCGGGGUUUUACUUAGUGGCGAACGGGUGAGUAACGCGUGAGGAACCUGCCUUCCAGUGGGGGACAACAGUUGGAAACGACUGCUAAUACCGCAUAAAACUAUAGUACCGCAUGGUACAUUAGUCAAAGCUUUAUGUGCUGGAAGAUGGCCUCGCGUCUGAUUAGCUAGUUGGUGGGGUAACGGCCCACCAAGGCGACGAUCAGUAGCCGGACUGAGAGGUUGAACGGCCACAUUGGGACUGAGAUACGGCCCAGACUCCUACGGGAGGCAGCAGUGGGGAAUAUUGGGCAAUGGGCGAAAGCCUGACCCAGCAACGCCGCGUGAAGGAAGAAAGGCCUUCGGGUUGUAAACGUUACUUUUAGUCUAGGGACGAAGGACGUGACGGUACC
This 443-nucleotide ribosomal RNA is filed under the name uncultured bacterium. Its description in RNAcentral is "bacterial SSU rRNA". It matches the Rfam family "Bacterial small subunit ribosomal RNA", at positions 28 to 479 of the family's 1533-position model. The record is from RNAcentral.